This 1441-nucleotide ribosomal RNA is filed under the name uncultured organism. RNAcentral's name for it is "SSU rRNA". It matches the Rfam family "Bacterial small subunit ribosomal RNA". The record is from RNAcentral.
UGCUACAGGCUUAACACAUGCAAGUCGAGGGGCAGCAUGGUCUUAGCUUGCUAAGGCCGAUGGCGACCGGCGCACGGGUGAGUAACACGUAUCCAACCUGCCGUCUACUCUUGGACAGCCUUCUGAAAGGAAGAUUAAUACAAGAUGGCAUCAUGAGUCCGCAUGUUCACAUGAUUAAAGGUAUUCCGGUAGACGAUGGGGAUGCGUUCCAUUAGAUAGUAGGCGGGGUAACGGCCCACCUAGUCUUCGAUGGAUAGGGGUUCUGAGAGGAAGGUCCCCCACAUUGGAACUGAGACACGGUCCAAACUCCUACGGGAGGCAGCAGUGAGGAAUAUUGGUCAAUGGGCGAGAGCCUGAACCAGCCAAGUAGCGUGAAGGAUGACUGCCCUAUGGGUUGUAAACUUCUUUUAUAAAGGAAUAAAGUCGGGUAUGCAUACCCGUUUGCAUGUACUUUAUGAAUAAGGAUCGGCUGACUCCGUGCCAGCAGCCGCGGUAAUACGGAGGAUCCGAGCGUUAUCCGGAUUUAUUGGGUUUAAAGGGAGCGUAGAUGGAUGUUUAAGUCAGUUGUGAAAGUUUGCGGCUCAACCGUAAAAUUGCAGUUGAUACUGGAUAUCUUGAGUGCAGUUGAGGCAGGCGGAAUUCGUGGUGUAGCGGUGAAAUGCUUAGAUAUCACGAAGAACUCCGAUUGCGAAGGCAGCCUGCUAAGCUGCAACUGACAUUGAGGCUCGAAAGUGUGGGUAUCAAACAGGAUUAGAUACCCUGGUAGUCCACACGGUAAACGAUGAAUACUCGCUGUUUGCGAUAUACAGCAAGCGGCCAAGCGAAAGCGUUAAGUAUUCCACCUGGGGAGUACGCCGGCAACGGUGAAACUCAAAGGAAUUGACGGGGGCCCGCACAAGCGGAGGAACAUGUGGUUUAAUUCGAUGAUACGCGAGGAACCUUACCCGGGCUUAAAUUGCAGAUGAAUUACGGUGAAAGCCGUAAGCCGCAAGGCAUCUGUGAAGGUGCUGCAUGGUUGUCGUCAGCUCGUGCCGUGAGGUGUCGGCUUAAGUGCCAUAACGAGCGCAACCCUUGUUGUCAGUUACUAACAGGUUCCGCUGAGGACUCUGACAAGACUGCCAUCGUAAGAUGUGAGGAAGGUGGGGAUGACGUCAAAUCAGCACGGCCCUUACGUCCGGGGCUACACACGUGUUACAAUGGGGGGUACAGAGGGCCGCUACCACGCGAGUGGAUGCCAAUCCCAAAAACCUCUCUCAGUUCGGACUGGAGUCUGCAACCCGACUCCACGAAGCUGGAUUCGCUAGUAAUCGCGCAUCAGCCACGGCGCGGUGAAUACGUUCCCGGGCCUUGUACACACCGCCCGUCAAGCCAUGGGAGCCGGGGGUACCUGAAGUGCGUAACCGCGAGGAGCGCCCUAGGGUAAAACUGGUGACUGGGGCUA